GGGGGUGUAGCUCAGUGGUAGAGCGCGCGCUUCGCAUGCGCGAGGCCCCGGGUUCAAUCCCCGGCACCUCCA
This 72-nucleotide transfer RNA is filed under the name Lytechinus pictus (painted urchin). RNAcentral's name for it is "transfer RNA alanine (anticodon CGC)". It matches the Rfam family "tRNA". From Rfam's summary of the family: Transfer RNA (tRNA) molecules are approximately 80 nucleotides in length. Lineage: Eukaryota; Metazoa; Echinodermata; Echinoidea; Temnopleuroida; Toxopneustidae. RNAcentral also lists the same sequence under 2 other names. The record is from RNAcentral.